RNAcentral lists this ribosomal RNA (240 nucleotides) under uncultured bacterium. Its description in RNAcentral is "partial 16S ribosomal RNA". It matches the Rfam family "Bacterial small subunit ribosomal RNA", at positions 92 to 334 of the family's 1533-position model. The record is from RNAcentral.
CGACCGGCGCACGGUGCGUAACGCGUAUGCAACCUACCUUUAACAGGGGGAUAACACUGAGAAAUUGGUACUAAUACCCCAUAAUAUCAUAGAAGGCAUCUUUUAUGGUUGAAAAUUCCGAUGGUUAGAGAUGGGCAUGCGUUGUAUUAGCUAGUUGGUGGGGUAACGGCUCACCAAGGCGACGAUACAUAGGGGGACUGAGAGGUUAACCCCCCACACUGGUACUGAGACACGGACCAG